UACGUGGGGGGCAAGCGUUGUUCGGAAUUACUGGGCGUAAAGGGCUCGUAGGCGGCCAACUAAGUCAGACGUGAAAUCCCCAGGCUUAACCUGGGAACUGCGUCGGAUACUGGUUGGCUUGAAUUCGGGAGAGGGAUGCAGAAUUCCAGGUGUAGCGGUGAAAUGCGUAGAUAUCUGGAGGAAUACCGGUGGCGAAGGCGGCAUCCUGGACCGACAUUGACGCUGAGCGGCGAAAGCUAGGGGAGCAAACAGG
RNAcentral lists this ribosomal RNA (253 nucleotides) under uncultured bacterium. Its description in RNAcentral is "partial 16S ribosomal RNA". It matches the Rfam family "Bacterial small subunit ribosomal RNA", at positions 524 to 776 of the family's 1533-position model. The record is from RNAcentral.